This 334-nucleotide ribosomal RNA is filed under the name Brachistosternus cekalovici. RNAcentral's name for it is "partial 12S small subunit ribosomal RNA". Lineage: Eukaryota; Metazoa; Arthropoda; Arachnida; Scorpiones; Bothriuridae. The record is from RNAcentral.
UAAAAACUUAUUUAUUUUAGGUAGUAACAGAUUUCUUGAAACCUAAAGAAUUUGGCGGUAUUUUAAAUAAUUAGAGGAACCUGUUAAUUAAAUGAUAAUCCACAACAUAUCUUACCUUAAUUAAGUUUGUAUACCGUUGUUUUUAGAUUAUAUUUAAAGAUUAUGAUCAAAAUUAAUUAAUUUUUAUAAAUCAAAUCAAGGUGCAGCAUAUUUAGGUUUUAAUGGGUUACAAUAUAUGUAUAUAUACGAAUUUAUUAUGAAAAUGUUUUUUGAAGGUGGAUUUAAAAGUAAUUUAAAAUUAAAAUGUUUAAAUGAAUAAAAAUUUAAAAUAUGC